CCUACGGGAGGCAGCAGUAAGGAAUAUUGGUCAAUGGAGGCAACUCUGAACCAGCCAUGCCGCGUGCAGGAUGACGGCCCUAUGGGUUGUAAGCUGCUUUUAUACAAGAGAAAACCCUGGUACGUGUACCAGGUUGAUAGUAUUGUAAGAAUAAGCAUCGGCUAACUUCGUGCCAGCAGCCGCGGUAAGACGAAGGAUGCAAGCGUUAUCCGGAUUCAUUGGGUUUAAAGGGUGCGUAGGCGGACUGAUAAGUCAGUGGUGAAAUCUCUUUGCUUAACAAAGAAACUGCCAUUGAUACUGUCGGUCUAGAGUAUAGAUGACGUUGGCGGAAUAUGACAUGUAGUGGUGAAAUACUUAGAUAUGUCAUAGAACACCGAUUGCGAAGGCAGCUAACGAAACUAUAACUGACGCUGAGGCACGAAAGUGCGGGGAUCAAACAGGAUUAGAUACCCUGGUAGUCCGCACCGUAAACGAUGAUUACUCGUUGUUGGCGAUAUGACAGUCAGCGACCAAGCGAAAGCGAUAAGUAAUCCACCUGGGGAGACGCGCGACGAGAACGACAANAGAGUAGACGGCGNGAGAGNGCGACGGACGACACGAGGGGAGGUUAGG
RNAcentral lists this ribosomal RNA (612 nucleotides) under uncultured bacterium. Its description in RNAcentral is "bacterial SSU rRNA". The stretch from base 1 to 536 matches the Rfam family "Bacterial small subunit ribosomal RNA", at positions 338 to 873 of the family's 1533-position model. The record is from RNAcentral.